Molecule: ribosomal RNA, 594 nt
Filed under: Triticum aestivum (bread wheat)
Lineage: Eukaryota; Viridiplantae; Streptophyta; Magnoliopsida; Poales; Poaceae
Description: partial small subunit ribosomal RNA
Source: RNAcentral
AUGUUAACCACCGUAUCGCGAAGAAAUCCUCUGUCCACUUUUCUUGCUGUUUUCUGUCAGAUCCCAUCUACCAUGGCCUCUUCAAGUUCCUCCAAGGACAAGUUCUUCAAGAACGUCAUCAACCCAUAUCCGCGGGAGGUGGUGCAACACCCUCAAACCAUCCAGAUGCAUGAGGGGGUGCUGUACAUCCGCGAUGAGCAAGGUCCCAAGGGCACGAGAACCGUGGAGGCCAGGCUUGAAGCCAUGGAGCAGGAAGUCUUUCGGUGCAAGGGGAUGGUGGAGCGUGGGAUCAAUGCCAAUCACCUCAUGAUCACGGACCUUUCUUGUGAUCUCAAGGUGGAUGGCAAGCCCAUGAAGGACAUCAUCUUCACCCUCAAUGAGCAAAUCAACUUUCUCCAAAGCCAGAUCUAUGAUCUUCAAAACCAAGUCUUUGAAUAUGAAGCGAGGUUUAAAGGUAUGAGUUUGGCUGCUAGUUGCAAGACCCGUGAGACUCACUCCUCCUCUUAUGAUGGUGGAUCACUGCCAUGGAAAUCCGAGGACAAGAUCUCUUCUUCAUCACCACCACCAUCUUCUUCAUCACCAAAGGAGAACUGA